RNAcentral lists this ribosomal RNA (254 nucleotides) under uncultured bacterium. RNAcentral describes it as "partial 16S ribosomal RNA". It matches the Rfam family "Bacterial small subunit ribosomal RNA", at positions 524 to 776 of the family's 1533-position model. The record is from RNAcentral.
UACGUAGGGGGCAAGCGUUGUCCGGAAUCAUUGGGCGUAAAGCGCGUGUAGGCGGCUGAGUAAGUCUGCUCUGAAAGCCCGGGGCUCAACCCCGGGAGGCGGGUGGAUACUGCUCAGCUCGAGUCCGGAAGAGGAGUGUGGAAUUCCUGGUGUAGCGGUGAAAUGCGCAGAUAUCAGGAAGAACACCCGUGGCGAAGGCGGCUCUCUGGGACGGUACUGACGCUGAGACGCGAAAAGCGUGGGGAGCGAACAGG